RNAcentral lists this ribosomal RNA (373 nucleotides) under uncultured organism. RNAcentral describes it as "bacterial SSU rRNA". It matches the Rfam family "Bacterial small subunit ribosomal RNA", at positions 526 to 896 of the family's 1533-position model. The record is from RNAcentral.
CGUAGGGUGCAAGCGUUAUCCGGAAUUAUUGGGCGUAAAGAGCUCGUAGGCGGUUUGUCACGUCUGCUGUGAAAACUGGAGGCUCAACCUCCAGCCUGCAGUGGGUACGGGCAGACUAGAGUGCGGUAGGGGAGAUUGGAAUUCCUGGUGUAGCGGUGGAAUGCGCAGAUAUCAGGAGGAACACCGAUGGCGAAGGCAGAUCUCUGGGCCGUAACUGACGCUGAGGAGCGAAAGCAUGGGGAGCGAACAGGAUUAGAUACCCUGGUAGUCCAUGCCGUAAACGUUGGGAACUAGAUGUAGGGACCAUUCCACGGUUUCUGUGUCGCAGCUAACGCAUUAAGUUCCCCGCCUGGGGAGUACGGCCGCAAGGCUA